CCAAUAGCGUAUAUUAAAGUUGUUGUGGUUAAAAAGCUCGUAGUUGAACCUUGGGCCUGGCUGGCCGGUCCGCCUCACCGCGUGUACUGGUCCGGCCGGGCCUUUCCCUCUGUGGAACCUCAUGCCCUUCACUGGGUGUGGCGGGGAAACAGGACUUUUACUUUGAAAAAAUUAGAGUGCUCCAGGCAGGCCUAUGCUCGAAUCCAUUAGCAUGGAAUAAUAAAAUAGGACGUGUGGUUCUAUUUUGUUGGUUUCUAGGACCGCCGUAAUGAUUAAUAGGGACAGUGGGGGGCAUCAGUAUUCAAUUGUCAGAGGUGAAAUUCUUGGAUUUAUUGAAGACUAACUACUGCGAAAGCAUUUGCCAAGGAUGUUUUCAUUAAUCAGGAACGAAAGUUAGGGGAUCGAAGACGAUCAGAUACCGUCGUAGUCUUAACCAUAAACUAUGCCGACUAGGGAUCGGACGAUGUUAUUUUUUGACGCGUUCGGCACCUUACG
This 495-nucleotide ribosomal RNA is filed under the name uncultured Paraglomus. RNAcentral's name for it is "SSU rRNA". It matches the Rfam family "Eukaryotic small subunit ribosomal RNA", at positions 591 to 1092 of the family's 1831-position model. Lineage: Eukaryota; Fungi; Glomeromycota; Glomeromycetes; Paraglomerales; Paraglomeraceae. The record is from RNAcentral.